UACGUAGGUGGCAAGCGUUGUCCGGAAUUAUUGGGCGUAAAGCGCGCGCAGGCGGCCUCUUAAGUCUGAUGUGAAAGCCCCCGGCUCAACCGGGGAGGGCCAUUGGAAACUGGGAGGCUUGAGUAUAGGAGAGAAGAGUGGAAUUCCUAGUGUAGAGGUGAAGUUCGUAGAGAUGUGGAGGAACACCAGUGGCGAAGGCGACUCUUUGGUCUGUAACUGACGCUGAGGCGCGAAAGCGUGGGGAGCGAACAGG
RNAcentral lists this unclassified non-coding RNA (253 nucleotides) under uncultured Caryophanales bacterium. RNAcentral describes it as "uncultured Bacillales bacterium contains 16S-23S intergenic spacer region". It matches the Rfam family "Bacterial small subunit ribosomal RNA", at positions 524 to 776 of the family's 1533-position model. The record is from RNAcentral. Lineage: Bacteria; Bacillati; Bacillota; Bacilli; Caryophanales.